AUGAACGCUAGCGGCAGGCCUAACACAUGCAAGUCGAGGGGUAGAACACUUCGGUGUUUGAGACCGGCGCACGGGUGCGUAACGCGUAUGUAAUCUACCUUAUACAGGGGAAUAGCCCAGAGAAAUUUGGAUUAAUGCCCCAUAGCAUUACGACUUGGCAUCAAGAUGUAAUUAAAGUUCCAACGGUAUAAGAUGAGCAUGCGUCCCAUUAGUUAGUUGGUAAGGUAACGGCUUACCAAGACAAUGAUGGGUAGGGGUCCUGAGAGGGAGAUCCCCCACACUGGUACUGAGACACGGACCAGACUCCUACGGGAGGCAGCAGUGAGGAAUAUUGGUCAAUGGGCGCAAGCCUGAACCAGCCAUGCCGCGUGCAGGAAGACGGUCCUAUGGAUUGUAAACUGCUUUUAUACAGGAAGAAACACCUCCACGUGUGGAGGCUUGACGGUACUGUAGGAAUAAGGAUCGGCUAACUCCGU
RNAcentral lists this ribosomal RNA (476 nucleotides) under uncultured bacterium. RNAcentral describes it as "bacterial SSU rRNA". It matches the Rfam family "Bacterial small subunit ribosomal RNA", at positions 29 to 506 of the family's 1533-position model. The record is from RNAcentral.